RNAcentral lists this ribosomal RNA (253 nucleotides) under uncultured bacterium. RNAcentral's name for it is "partial 16S ribosomal RNA". It matches the Rfam family "Bacterial small subunit ribosomal RNA", at positions 524 to 776 of the family's 1533-position model. The record is from RNAcentral.
UACGUAGGGGGCUAGCGUUGUCCGGAUUUAUUGGGCGUAAAGAGCGUGUAGGCGGCCGGGUAGGUCUGCUGUGAAAACUCGAGGCUCAACCUCGAGACGUCGGCGGAAACCAUCUGGCUAGAGUCCGGAAGAGGAGAGUGGAAUUCCGAGUGUAGAGGUGAAAUUCGUAGAUAUUCGGAAGAACACCAGUGGCGAAGGCGACUUACUGGACACAUAUUGACGCUGAGGUGCGAAAGCGUGGGGAGCAAACAGG